GUUGUGGCUCAGUGGUGGAGCACUUGUCUAGCAUGUGCAAGGCCCUGGGUUCAAUCCUCAGCACCACA
This 68-nucleotide transfer RNA is filed under the name Marmota monax (woodchuck). RNAcentral describes it as "tRNA.Ala". The record is from RNAcentral. Lineage: Eukaryota; Metazoa; Chordata; Mammalia; Rodentia; Sciuridae.